AUCUAUGGCCAUACCACCCUGAAUUCACCAGAUCUCAUUUGAUUUCAGAAGCUAAGCAGGAUUGGGCCUGGUUGGUACUUGGAUGGAAGCUCAAAAGUCUAACUCUUUCCCUUUGGUCUAGGAACUUUAGUGA
RNAcentral lists this ribosomal RNA (133 nucleotides) under Castor canadensis (American beaver). The record is from RNAcentral. Lineage: Eukaryota; Metazoa; Chordata; Mammalia; Rodentia; Castoridae.